UACACACCGCCCGUCACGCCAUGGAAGCUGGGGGGGGCCUGAAGCCGGUGGGCUAACCGCAAGGAGGCAGCCGUCAAAGGUCAAUUCAGUGACUGGGGCG
Molecule: ribosomal RNA, 100 nt
Filed under: uncultured bacterium
Lineage: Bacteria
Description: partial 16S ribosomal RNA
Rfam family: Bacterial small subunit ribosomal RNA
Source: RNAcentral